Non-coding RNA from Mycena epipterygia, 101 nucleotides. NCBI's taxonomy places the organism in Eukaryota, Fungi, Basidiomycota, Agaricomycetes, Agaricales, Mycenaceae. The record is from the annotation of a GenBank genome assembly.
GGCCUGGUGGUGUAAUGGUUAACACGCCUGCUCUACUUAUAUUAGUGCAUGAGAAGGAUAUUUACAGCAGGAGGCCCCUUGUUCGAAUCAAGGCCAGGUGG